GAAGUUUAAAUGAUGAGAAAUUUUUUACUUAUCAGUUAUCCCUGUCUGAAUGGGUAUAUAAAAUGAUAAUACACAUAUGUCGAUAAUUUUUACUCUGAAAACUUC
This 105-nucleotide small nucleolar RNA is filed under the name Kazachstania africana CBS 2517. Its description in RNAcentral is "Small nucleolar RNA R38". It matches the Rfam family "Small nucleolar RNA R38". From Rfam's summary of the family: snoR38 is a C/D box small nucleolar RNA conserved across yeast, human, Arabidopsis and rice. Lineage: Eukaryota; Fungi; Ascomycota; Saccharomycetes; Saccharomycetales; Saccharomycetaceae. The record is from Rfam by way of RNAcentral.